RNAcentral lists this ribosomal RNA (478 nucleotides) under uncultured bacterium. RNAcentral describes it as "partial 16S ribosomal RNA". It matches the Rfam family "Bacterial small subunit ribosomal RNA", at positions 28 to 507 of the family's 1533-position model. The record is from RNAcentral.
GAUGAACGCUGGCGGCGCGCUUAACACAUGCAAGUCGAACGAGAAGUGGAGACGGAAACCUUCGGGCGGAAGACUUUACUUCGAGUGGCGGACGGGUGAGUAACGCGUGGGUAACCUGCCUCAUACAGGGGGAUAACAGUUGGAAACGACUGUUAAUACCGCAUAAGACCACAGCACCGCAUGGUGCGGGGGUAAAAACUCCGGUGGUAUGAGAUGGACCCGCGUUCGAUUAGCCAGUUGGCGGGGUAACGGCCCACCAAAGCGACGAUCGAUAGCCGAUCUGAGAGGAUGACCGGCCACAUUGGGACUGAGACACGGCCCAAACUCCUACGGGAGGCAGCAGUGGGGAAUAUUGCACAAUGGGGGAAACCCUGAUGCAGCGACGCCGCGUGAGUGAAGAAGUAUUUCGGUAUGUAAAGCUCUAUCAGCAGGGAGGAAAAUGACAGUACCUGAGUAAGAAGCCCCGGCUAACUACGUG